GUGCCAGCCGCCGCGGUAAUACGUAGGGGGCGAACGUUGCUCGGAAUUACUGGGCGUAAAGGGUGUGUAGGUGGCUGAGCAAGUCGAAGAUGAAAUCCCAGGGCUCAACCCUGGAAUUGUCUUCGAUACUGUUCAGCUUGAGGGUGGUCGAGGAAGACGGAAUUCCCGGUGGAGCGGUGAAAUGCGUAGAUAUCGGGAGGAACGCCAGAGGCGAAGGCGGCUCCCUAGCCCGGUACUGACGCUGAGGCACGAAAGCGUGGGGAGCGAACGGGAUUAGAUACCCCGGUAGUUCACGCCCUAAACGAUGGAUGCUAGGUGUUGGAUCCGAGAGGAUUCAGCGCCGAAGCUAACGCGUUAAGCAUCCCGCCUGGGGACUACGGCCGCAAGGCUGAAACUUAAAUGAAUUGACGGGG
Molecule: ribosomal RNA, 413 nt
Filed under: uncultured prokaryote
Description: bacterial SSU rRNA
Rfam family: Bacterial small subunit ribosomal RNA
Source: RNAcentral